UCAUGGCUCAGGACGAACGCUGGCGGCGUGCUUAACACAUGCAAGUCGAACGGGGAUAUCUUGGAAGGCUUCGGCUGGAAGGGAAUAUUCGAGUGGCGGACGGGUGAGUAACGCGUGAACAAUCUGUCCCAGACAGGGGGAUAACACUUGGAAACAGGUGCUAAUACCGCAUAAGACCACAGCAUCACAUGGUGCAGAGGUAAAAGGAGCGAUCCGGUUUGGGGUGAGUUCGCGUCCGAUUAGCCAGUUGGCGGGUAACGGCCCACCAAAGCGACGAUCGGUAGCCGAUCUGAGAGGAUGACCGGCCACAUUGGAACUGAGAGACGGUCCAAACUCCUACGGGAGGCAGCAGUGGGGAAUAUUGGGCAAUGGGCGAAAGCCCUGACCCAGCAACGCCGCGUGAGUGAAGAAGGCUUUCGGGUUGUAAAGCUCUGUUAUAGGGGACGAAGGAAGUGACGGUACCCUAUAAGGAAGCCCCGGCUAACUACGUGCCAGCCGCAGC
This 502-nucleotide ribosomal RNA is filed under the name uncultured bacterium. RNAcentral's name for it is "bacterial SSU rRNA". It matches the Rfam family "Bacterial small subunit ribosomal RNA", at positions 17 to 518 of the family's 1533-position model. The record is from RNAcentral.